Molecule: ribosomal RNA, 1125 nt
Filed under: Bacillus sonorensis
Lineage: Bacteria; Bacillati; Bacillota; Bacilli; Caryophanales; Bacillaceae
Description: bacterial SSU rRNA
Rfam family: Bacterial small subunit ribosomal RNA
Source: RNAcentral
GAAAAGUGGCGGCUGCUAUACAUGCAGUCGAGCGGACAGAUGGGAGCUUGCUCCCUGAUGUUAGCGGCGGACGGGUGAGUAACACGUGGGUAACCUGCCUGUAAGACUGGGAUAACUCCGGGAAACCGGGGCUAAUACCGGAUGCUUGAUUGAACCGCAUGGUUCAAUUAUAAAAGGUGGCUUUUAGCUACCACUUACAGAUGGACCCGCGGCGCAUUAGCUAGUUGGUGAGGUAACGGCUCACCAAGGCAACGAUGCGUAGCCGACCUGAGAGGGUGAUCGGCCACACUGGGACUGAAACACGGCCCAAACUCCUACGGGAGGCAGCAGUAGGGAAUCUUCCGCAAUGGACGAAAGUCUGACGGAGCAACGCCGCGUGAGUGAUGAAGGUUUUCGGAUCGUAAAACUCUGUUGUUAGGGAAGAACAAGUACCGUUCGAAUAGGGCGGUACCUUGACGGUACCUAACCAGAAAGCCACGGCUAACUACGUGCCAGCAGCCGCGGUAAUACGUAGGUGGCAAGCGUUGUCCGGAAUUAUUGGGCGUAAAGCGCGCGCAGGCGGUUUCUUAAGUCUGAUGUGAAAGCCCCCGGCUCAACCGGGGAGGGUCAUUGGAAACUGGGGAACUUGAGUGCAGAAGAGGAGAGUGGAAUUCCACGUGUAGCGGUGAAAUGCGUAGAGAUGUGGAGGAACACCAGUGGCGAAGGCGACUCUCUGGUCUGUAACUGACGCUGAGGCGCGAAAGCGUGGGGAGCGAACAGGAUUAGAUACCCUGGUAGUCCACGCCGUAAACGAUGAGUGCUAAGUGUUAGAGGGUUUCCGCCCUUUAGUGCUGCAGCAAACGCAUUAAGCACUCCGCCUGGGGAGUACGGUCGCAAGACUGAAACUCAAAGGAAUUGACGGGGGCCCGCACAAGCGGUGGAGCAUGUGGUUUAAUUCGAAGCAACGCGAAGACCUUACCAGGUCUGACAUCCUCUGACAACCCUAGAGAUAGGGCUUCCCCUUCGGGGCAGAGUGACAGGUGUGCAUGGUUGUCGUCAGCCUCGUGUCGUGAGAUGUUGGGUUAAGUCCCGCAACGAAGCGCCACCCUUGAUCUAGUUGCCAGCAUUCAGUUGGCCACCUCUAAA